This 120-nucleotide ribosomal RNA is filed under the name uncultured bacterium. RNAcentral describes it as "partial 16S ribosomal RNA". It matches the Rfam family "Bacterial small subunit ribosomal RNA", at positions 215 to 334 of the family's 1533-position model. The record is from RNAcentral.
GCGCUAUCAGAUGAGCCUGCGUCGGAUUAGCUAGUUGGUGGGGUAAAGGCCUACCAAGGCGACGAUCCGUAACUGGUCUGAGAGGAUGAUCAGUCACACCGGAACUGAGACACGGUCCGG